AGGAGGAACAACCGCAGUGGCGGCGGCAGCUCUGCAGCCCUGGAGUCAGCUCCCUCAGUAGCUCCGGAGCUCUCCGUCUGCAGGGCCUGGAGGCUCCGGGGCGGG
This 105-nucleotide microRNA precursor is filed under the name Canis lupus familiaris (dog). Its description in RNAcentral is "mir-8834 microRNA precursor family". It matches the Rfam family "mir-8834 microRNA precursor family". The record is from Rfam by way of RNAcentral. Lineage: Eukaryota; Metazoa; Chordata; Mammalia; Carnivora; Canidae.